UCUACGGGUCGCUGCAGUGGGGAAUAUUGGACAAUGGGGGCAACCCUGAUCCAGCCAUGCCGCGUGUGUGAAGAAGGCCCUCGGGUUGUAAAGCACUUUCAGUGAGGAAGAACGCCUGGUGGUUAAUACCCAUCAGGAAAGACAUCACUCACAGAAGAAGCACCGGCUAACUCCGUGCCAGCAGCCGCGGUAAUACGGAGGGUGCGAGCGUUAAUCGGAAUUACUGGGCGUAAAGCGCGCGUAGGUGGCUUGAUAAGCCGGUUGUGAAAGCCCCGGGCUCAACCUGGGAACGGCAUCCGGAACUGUCAAGCUAGAGUGCAGGAGAGGAAGGUAGAAUUCCCGGUGUAGCGGUGAAAUGCGUAGAGAUCGGGGGGAAUACCAGUGGCGAAGGCGGCCUUCUGGACUGACACUGACACUGAGGUGCGAAAGCGUGGGUAGCAAACAGGAUUAGAUACCCCAGUAGUC
Molecule: ribosomal RNA, 465 nt
Filed under: Vreelandella stevensii
Lineage: Bacteria; Pseudomonadati; Pseudomonadota; Gammaproteobacteria; Oceanospirillales; Halomonadaceae
Description: partial 16S ribosomal RNA
Rfam family: Bacterial small subunit ribosomal RNA
Source: RNAcentral